Molecule: ribosomal RNA, 460 nt
Filed under: uncultured bacterium
Lineage: Bacteria
Description: partial 16S ribosomal RNA
Rfam family: Bacterial small subunit ribosomal RNA
Source: RNAcentral
CCUACGGGUGGCAGCAGUGAGGAAUAUUGGUCAAUGGGCUUACGCCUGAACCAGCCAAGUCGCGUGAGGGAAGACUGCCCUAUGGGUUGUAAACCUCUUUUGUCAGGGAGCAACGCCGGCUACGUGUAGCCGGACGGAGAGUACCUGAAGAAAAAGCAUCGGCUAACUCCGUGCCAGCGGCCGCGGUAAUACGGAGGAUGCGAGCGUUAUCCGGAUUUAUUGGGUUUAAAGGGUGUGUAGGCGGAAGUCCAAGUCAGCGGUAAAAUUGCGGGGCUCAACCUCGCUCCGCAGUUGAAACUGGCGUUCUUGAGUGGGCGAGAAGUAUGCGGAAUGCGUGGUGUAGCGGUGAAAUGCAUAGAUAUCACGCAGAACUCCGAUUGCGAAGGCAGCAUACCGGCGCCCAACUGACGCUGAAGCACGAAAGCGUGGGUAUCGAACAGGAUUAGAUACCCUAGUAGUC